GAUGAACGCUGGCGGCGUGCCUAAUACAUGCAAGUCGAGCGAACGGACGAGAAGCUUGCUUCUCUGAUGUUAGCGGCGGGCGGGUGAGUAACACGUGGAUAACCUACCUAUAAGACUGGGAUAACUUCGGGAAACCGGAGCUAAUACCGGAUAAUAUUUUGAACCGCAUGGUUCAAAAGUGAAAGACGGUCUUGCUGUCACUUAUAGAUGGAUCCGCGCUGCAUUAGCUAGUUGGUAAGGUAACGGCUUACCAAGGCAACGAUGCAUAGCCGACCUGAGAGGGUGAUCGGCCGCACUGGAACUGAGACACGGUCCAGACUCCUACGGGAGGCAGCAGUAGGGAAUCUUCCGCAAUGGGCGAAAGCCUGACGGAGCAACGCCGCGUGAGUGAUGAAGGUCUUCGGAUCGUAAAACUCUGUUAUUAGGGAAGAACAUAUGUGUAAGUAACUGUGCACAUCUUGACGGUACCUAAUCAGAAAGCCACGGCUAACUACGUG
RNAcentral lists this ribosomal RNA (497 nucleotides) under uncultured bacterium. Its description in RNAcentral is "partial 16S ribosomal RNA". It matches the Rfam family "Bacterial small subunit ribosomal RNA", at positions 28 to 507 of the family's 1533-position model. The record is from RNAcentral.